GUAGGUUGCUGGAAGAACACUCACAGGUGUGGAAAGAAAGGACUUGCCUCCUACCUGGGCUUCUAGGGACCUUUCUCUCGACUGGGAAGGAUUUUGAUGUUAAUUGGAAAUACCUCCAGAAGAUUCAAGAAGCUGUGAAAUAAGUCUGUGAAGGACCAGCAUGGGAAUCCUAUACUCUGAGCCCAUCUGCCAGGCGGCCUAUCAGAAUGACUUGGGUCAAGUGUGGCAGUGGGUGAGGGAAGACGGCAACUGCAUCAACAUUCAAGACGGCUUUAAUGGAGACACCCCCUUGAUCUGCGCUUGCAGACGAGGGCACCUGAGAAUCGUGUCCUUCCUUCUGAGAAGAAACGCUGAUGUGAACCUCAAAAACCAGAAACAGAGAACCUGCUUGCAUUAUGCUGUGAAGAAAAGAUUCACCUUCUUUGAUUAUCUACUCAUUAUCCUCUUAAUGCCUGUCCUGCUUAUUGGCUAUUUCCUCAUGGUAUCAAAGACAAAGCAGAAUGAGUCUCUUGUACGAAUGCUACUUAACGCUGGUGCCGAAGUUAAUGCUACAGAUUGUUAUGGCUGCACUGCGCUACAUUAUGCCUGCGAAAUGAAAAGCCAGACUCUUGUCCCUCUGCUCCUGGCGGCCCAUGCAGACCCCAUGAUAAAGAAUAAGCAUGGUGAGAGUUCCCUGGAUAUUGCACGGAGAUUAAAAUUUUCCCAGAUUGAAUUACUGCUAAGGAAAGCGUCAUAAUCGUUAUGACCUCAUAUGAAGAAGUACAAUGGAUUCUGUUUCCAUCUUGGACUAUUGGUCUGUGGACCACUCAAUCUGGAGGUCACCAUGCGUUUAAUUUUUGAAGGCAGAAACCUGGGCCAGACAUUUGAAACCAGAAGGUCUCCUAGAUGCAAGCUGUAAACUCUCAAAGAAGCUUGGACUAGAACCUAGGAUGGGGGCUGAGCUCCAGAAGUGGAGUCAAGCAAGUGAUUAGAGAGUUGGAAAUUUCAGUCCCAUUCAUGACCUCUGGAGAGGGGAGAUGGGCUGGAGACUGAGUUCAAUCGCCAGUGGCCAAUGAUUUAACCAACUGGACCUCUCUAAGGAAGCCUCCACAAAACCCCAAAAGGACAGGGUUCAGAGCCUCCAGGUUGAUGAACACGUGAAAAUGUGGGGAGAGUGGCCCCAUGGAGAAGACAUGGAAGCUCUGCUCCCCUUCCCUUGAUCAGUGCAUCUCUUUUACCUGGCCGUUCCUGAGUUAUAUCCUUUUAUAAUAAACCAAUAAUCUAGUAAGUAAAGUGUUUCUCUGAGUUCUAUGAGCCAAUCUAGCAAAUUAAUCAAACCUCAGUCUGAGAAGGGGGUUAUGGGAACCUCUGAAUUAUAGCCAGUGGGUCAGACACACAGGUGACAACCUGGGCUUGCGAUUGGCAUCUGAACUGGAGGAUAGUCUUGUGGGACCGAGCCCUCAACCUGUGGAAUCUCAUGUUAUCUCUGGGUAGACAGUGUCAGAAUUGAGUUAAACUCUAAGUCACCCACCUGGUGUUGGAGAAUGUUUUGUUCAUGGGGAGAAACUCCCCUCCACACACAUAUACUGGAAUUUGGUGGUCAGACCUUUCUUUUAUAGAGUAACUUAGCUAUGGAAGGUUGGAAUAUUCUAUGGAGACUGUAAUAUGUUUUUCUCAUCUAACAGGUGAAAAGACUGAACUGAAUGUCAGGUCUAGCUCUAAGGCUCUGUGAGUCUAUGACACCUUUUUGCAUGUGUGUUUUCUCUUUCUUUCCAUGACCAUUUUCUGGCACCUGCUCUACACAAGUCACUUUCUCUCUGACUCAUGACCUUAAAUGUUGAUAAAUUAAAUCUUAUCUUGGAACUGGGAUGCUUUCUCUAAAGAUAUAUUUUAGGAAACAAUGAAAGAAGGAUCUUAAAAAUGUAGCUGGUACCUGUGAUUGAGUUUGCUAUUCAGAGGCACGACAGUGGUCUGUCCAAUUUCCGAGACUUUAUAUCUAGACAUACAGAAGUAUAUCUACAGAAGUGGAUGUUAAGUGUGAUAUGAGACUCUCUAAGAUUAGCCUGUGUAUGUAUUCUGCUCCCUCCAGCUUUAUGUGUAUGGUCAAUAUUUGCUUACAUUCUCACACAAGCUAACCAAUAAUCUUCAGUGAAGGUUUUAUGCUUAGAGAAGUUUAAUACAAAUUUCUAAUUCUCCAUAACUUUUGUUUUAAAUUUUAUUCCAUAACAUUGAUUACACACACAGAUUUUCUUGGGUAAUAUUUUUCACUUGCAAAUUACAAAUUCAUUAAAAGUGUGACCAGGGAGAACUCUUAUCUAGUCCAGUAAUUUUUAUUUUAAAGAGAAAGAGAUUGAGGCCUGAAGAAUCAAAGCAGCCUAGCCCUGAUGGUACAAAUUUGUAAUGCAGAGGCAAAACUAAUACAGUAAUUCUCACUUGUCAUUAAUACUCUUUUUACUGUACCAUGAACCAACCUCACCCCUGCCAUCCUCAUUUGUGGUUUUCUUCUGCUGUUGUUGUUUUUUAAUCUUGAAAGAUCCUCUAGCAGCCACCACAGACUACACCCUUCCCUUCACUAAGUCUACCCAUCUUGCUCCUAAGAAGCCCUGUGCCUUGUUCAUGGAGGCAGCCUCAUCAAAAAAGUUCUCCUACUGCAUUAUAAAAGUGGUUCUCUUUAACCCUUAAAAGUCUCUUGGCUGGGCUUCCCUGGUGGCUCAGUGGUUGGGAAUCCGCCUGCUAAUGCAGGGGACACAGGUUCAAGCCCUGGUCCGGGAAGAUCCCACAUGCCAUGGAGCAACUAGGCCCGUGCACCACAACUACUGGGCCUGUGCUCUAGAGCCUGCGAGCCACAACUACUGAGCCCACGUGCCACAACUACUGAGCCCGUGUGCCACAACUACUGAGCCUGCCCGCCACAACUACUGAGCCUGCGCACCUAGAGCCCGUGAUCCGCAACAAGAGAAGCCACCGCAGUGAGAAGCCCAUGCACCACAACAAAGAGUAGCCCCUGCUCAUCUCAACUAGAGAAAGCCCUCGAGGAGCAACAAAGACCCAACACAGCCAAAAAAAAAAAAAGUCUCUUGGCUAAGCUUUGAACUUUUCCAUUUUCAAAUGAAGUCAAACCAGAACUAAUUACUUUUUACUUGAAUUCUUUCUUUUUCAUAUUCUUUUCCAGUGUAUUCCCUGUGCUGUAUAGUAGGACACAUUGUUGUUUAUCCAUGCUAUAUAUAAUAGUUUGCAUCUGCUAAUCCCAAACUCCUAAUCUAUCCCUCCCCCCAUCCCCCUCCCCCCUUGGCAACCACAAGUCUGUUCUCUAUGUGUGUGAGUCUGUUUCAUAGAUAAGUUCAUUUGUGUCAUAUUUUAGAUUCCACAUAUAAGUGAUAUCAUAUGGUGUUUGUCUUUCUCUUUCUGACGUACUUCACUUAGUAUGAUAAUCUCUAUGUCCAUCCAUGUUGCUGCAAAUGGCAUUAUUUCAUUCUUUUUUAUGCCUGAGUAGUAUUCCAUUCUACUUGAAUUCUUGUAUUUUACUCCUAUUUCUAGAAUAAACUGCCAGUAUAACUUCCCUCU
Molecule: RNA transcript, 3543 nt
Organism: Physeter macrocephalus (sperm whale)
Lineage: Eukaryota; Metazoa; Chordata; Mammalia; Artiodactyla; Physeteridae
Gene: ANKRD22
Gene name: ankyrin repeat domain 22
Exons: 8
Source: RefSeq, a predicted model, not a curated record